GUCAGGAUGGCCGAGGCGGUCUAAGGCGCUACGUUCAGGGCGCAGUCUCCCCUGGAGGCGUGGGUUCAAAUCCCAUUUCUGACA
Molecule: transfer RNA, 84 nt
Filed under: Ameiurus melas (black bullhead)
Lineage: Eukaryota; Metazoa; Chordata; Actinopteri; Siluriformes; Ictaluridae
Rfam family: tRNA
About the family: Transfer RNA (tRNA) molecules are approximately 80 nucleotides in length. Their secondary structure includes four short double-helical elements and three loops (D, anti-codon, and T loops). Further hydrogen bonds mediate the characteristic L-shaped molecular structure. tRNAs have two regions of fundamental functional importance: the anti-codon, which is responsible for specific mRNA codon recognition, and the 3' end, to which the tRNAs corresponding amino acid is attached (by aminoacyl-tRNA synthetases). tRNAs cope with the degeneracy of the genetic code in two manners: having more than one tRNA (with a specific anti-codon) for a particular amino acid; and 'wobble' base-pairing, i.e. permitting non-standard base-pairing at the 3rd anti-codon position.
Source: Rfam by way of RNAcentral